RNAcentral lists this unclassified non-coding RNA (339 nucleotides) under soil metagenome. Its description in RNAcentral is "partial contains 5.8S ribosomal RNA, internal transcribed spacer 2, and large subunit ribosomal RNA". The stretch from base 1 to 120 matches the Rfam family "5.8S ribosomal RNA", at positions 35 to 154 of the family's 154-position model. The record is from RNAcentral.
GAUGAAGAACGUAGCGAAAUGCGAUAAGUAAUGUGAAUUGCAGAAUUCAGUGAAUCAUCGAAUCUUUGAACGCACAUUGCGCCCGCUAGUAUUCUGGCGGGCAUGCCUGUUCGAGCGUCAUUUCAACCAUCAAGCCCUGUUUAGGCUUGUGUUGGGGCCCUGCGGUUGCCGCAGCCCCCUAAAUGCAGUGGCGGGCUCGUUGUCACUCCGAGCGUAGUAGCAUACAUCUCGCUCUGGGCGUGCUGCGGGUUCCGGCCGUUAAACCACCUUUUAACCCAAGGUUGACCUCGGAUCAGGUAGGAAGACCCGCUGAACUUAAGCAUAUCAAUAAGCGGAGGA